GACUUGUUGAAGAUAAGAAACAGUUUGCAAAUGAAAGGAGAGGAGGACACUGCUGGAGAAGAUGAUCUGCAGGAUCCUGCUGCUCAUCAUCCUCACCUCAUGUGUCUCUGGAUCAUUUGUAGUCAAUGUGACACAGACCUCCUAUCAGGCAGAGGAGAAGCACAACAUCACACUGGAGUGGACGUUCACCACCAAACCUGACAGAUCCUGGACCUACAUCUUCAUCCUCUGUAACCUGAUAACUGAGGAUAACGUCUCAGUCCUGUAUCAUGUUCUUGAAGGUGUUGAGGUGUCAGAGUCUCAGGAUGAAAAGUUUUCAGGACGAGUCCAGAGUGACAAAGACGCCCUCAGAGAAGGACGAAUCAGACUUCAGCUGUCCAGACUGAGGACUGAUGACUCGGGUCUGUACCUGUGUGAGGUCAACACUGAUUAUGGCUUCAGUGUUGGAAGAUGUCAACUCAACGUCACUGCAGUGCCAGAUUGUCCCGAAUGUGAGAGAAAACUGGACACAUCAAACACAGAAACUCAACAAUUCGCAGGUGAUAUUAAACUGUCAAUGGUGAGACGUCCCUUUUCCCAGAGUUGAACACCAUAAAGGUAAGACUCAUAUAAGCUAAAAACUCCAAUAUUUAAAUGAAAUCUGUUUAACAUCCUGAUGGAUGUACUCAUGGGGGUUCAAAGCUGAUAAAAACUGCAUUUUAAUUGUUAUUUAACAGACAGUGCAUUAGGACACAUGCUGGCCAGAGAAUAAGUGUCAUGAUACACAAUAAUGGACAUCAAAUUGAUUUUUUUUAUCUUCGUUUUUUUGUUUGUUUAUUUGUUUAAGACACAUUAUCAAAUUGUCACUCAUCAGACAGAUGAUGAAAUGUGCACUGUGUUCACUUUACUGUAAUCACACAGGGAAACACCUCUACCUCACGCACCACGUGCAGCAGAUAUAAAUUCAGUGUUUAAUGUGUUUACUGUUGUAAUGUUGAAAGGAUUCAGAUUAAUUAUGUUAACAAUGAAGAUGAUCUGACGUGUUGUAAACUGUCAUGGAGUUGUGUGUAGCAAAGGACAUUAUACUUAAUAUUAUGUACAUAUUAUGUAAGUGCACACAACAAACAUCUCUACAGCUUCACUUAUAUCUGUGUUAAAGUUGGAGUUAAACACAGCUGGUAGAGCUCCUGUAGCUCUCAGUCUAAUGUACAAAAAUGCCUGUUCCAAAAUCUCCUGAAGUAAAGGUUUAAUGACUUAUUUUGUAAAAUGAAGUCAGACUGUUUGUGUUUCAUUUACUGUUUUCUCCAUAUAAUACAAAAAACACAGAAAGCCAUAAGGGCUGCUACUAGCUGCAGUCUAACAUAAAGAAAUGAGGCCACUGUUUGGUGAAGGACAUCAACAUGUGUAUCAUAAAUGUUUAUGGAAUUGGUUUACACUGAAAAUUAAGCUGUAGAAUAUCUGAAUUUCACCUAAUAAUGUUUGUUUCAAUACACAAUAGAUUUAUAUAUAGUACACAUAUUAGGAAAGAAAAGACCUUGCCAGGAACAUGGAGCCUGCAGCUAUCAAAUCAGUCAUGGUCUGUGUUCACUUUGAAUAUAUAGACCCGAGUCAUCAGUCCUGAGUCUGGACAGUUGAAGUCUGAUUCGUCCUUCUCUGAGGGCGUCUUUGUCACUCUGGACUCGUCCUGAAAAAGUUUUCAUCCUGAGACUCUGACACAUCAACAUCUUCAAAACAUGAAACAAGACUUAGUCUUUAGGACCAGUUUUCAGGCCACAGAGUAUGAAGAUGUAGAUCCAGGAUCUGUCUGGUUUGGCUGUGAACUAUUGGCCUGCCUCUUCUUUUGUUUCUUUUGUUUCAGCCAAUAGCUCUUUGAGAAUCGCCUUGUUCCUGCAAAAAAAAUUCUAUUUUAUGUUUGUCAAACUCUGCCAUCUUUGGAUUUUUUUGUAGAUUCAACUUAAUGGGGACAGGUGUGUUUUGUCUUGUAACAGACUGCCAUAUAUAAAUUGCCUUAAUAAUUUAAAAUUAGUUCUUUUGUAAGCGGUCUGUUAUCCAUAGACAUAGCAGUGGUUCAUCCCCUGAGUUAGGUGACUGUUUAAUGUUUGAAUGAUCCAUAGGUCAGUGUUAAAUAGAAACAUUAGAUACCAGAAAUGUCCUAAAAAAAAGUAAAUUUAUUGAUGCAUAAUAUUUUUGUGUAUUUUUCCUUUCUCUUUCUUUAUAUAUUUUUAUUUUUUAUUUAGAAAAUUGUUUGUUAUUUCCAUAACGCUUCUGGUCCAUCAGCUGUCUGAGAGAAAAGUAAACUCUUAUAUAAAUAACAUGGCUAAAUAUGUUAAAUAAGCAGAAAGACCAAGCUUUGAAGAAUGAAGCAAUUAAGUGGUUAAAAACUCCUGCUACAUUAUGAGCUCUAAACUGAAAACUUUGACAGUUGCAGAAGAACAUGGAAAUAAAUUGGCAGAGAAUGAAUUUGGCAUUGACACAGUAAACAAGUCAUCUUUAUUUUAGUUAAAUAAUAAUGUGCGUGCUCACUGAGAAGCUAAUGCUGAAAGCUGAGUUGGAAGUUGGAACAAAUCGUGGAGUCAAUAAUGAACGUUAGUGAAAGAAGUGCAGUGAAUUUUUGAAUAUACAAAAGCUUGUAUUUAAACAAAGAUAUUUUUGGUUUUAAUCUAACAUGAAGAAGAGAAUCUACGAUACUUCCUUAUAGAGAACAUCUUUAGUUGGCUUUAAUUGUAUGGUUUUUUUUUGUCAGAAAACAUUCAGAUUGAAAGCAGCAACAUAAAACAUAGCAGAUGAAGUAGUUCAUUUUAAAAGAGGACCUCCUAUCUUAUGUUUUCUAAAAGACUGCACAAGACCCUGAACAGCAACAAUGAUCAAAACUAUCAUGCCACUAACUAUUAAAAGUGCACUCUCUAAAACUCCCAGAACAAUUUUAACUUGAUCCCAGUAGUUCUUAUUUCGACUUUCAGCACCUGCAAGAAGAAAAAACAGAUGAAGUUAGAAUCCUCUUGAUCAAGAUCAUCCCAUAUCACAGCCUCGCACUUCCGGCCUUCUUGGUCUUCGAAGGACCCGGCCAACGUAGACUGAAGGCCGGGUCCUCUGAAGGAUGCAGCCUAUGAGUUGGCACAUAGCUGUUAUUUCCCUCUGAGUUACUGAUUCUGUCACUAUUUAGCUAGUCUAUAAGUUAGUUUAUUAGCCGGAGCCAACCAACCAACCACAUAAUGUAAUGCUCUGUACUGACAGAAGAUGGUGCUACACACGUCUUCAAAACUUUAAUUACUUAUUUCUUAAAUCCAGCUUAACAGACAGUGUUACAUCUAUCUCAUUUUUUGAGAGCAUGGCUGAAUGAUGUAAAUUAGCCUUUAUAUUUGUAGUGUUUCAUGUCCUCUUUAACAGAGGGAAUAACACAGGGGGAUAAGAAGGAGGAAAACACUCAGGUGGCUUCUUAAACUCCAUAAAUACAAAUACCAAGAAUAAGUAAAAUAUAACUAUAACUAAAGUUUAAAGAUAAAGUUAAAAAUAAAGAAACUACAAACAAAUAAAAUUAAGAAGUAAAUAGAAAACCCUUAAUAAUAAGCAAGAAUGUUAACCCAACAAACUGUCAGUCCAGGCACGGAUCACAACAAUUAUAUUUUGGAACUAUUUUUCAGCCAUGACUAGACUCAUAAACAGCUGUAGGGUAAAUUUUACAGGACAUAAACAAAUUAAAAAAAAUCAGACAAAUAAUAGAAAUCUCCACAUACUGCUCAGUGUGACACUGAUAAUAAUCCUUUAAAAAAGGUGAAAUAAAUAACUUACCAGAAACACUGACUCUGCAUCUGGCAGAACUGAAGCCAUAAUCAGUGUUGACCUCACACAGGUACAGACCCGAGUCAUCAGUCCUGAGUCUGGACAGUUGAAGUCUGAUUCGUCCUUCUCUGAGGGCGUCUUUGUCACUCUGGACUCGUCCUGAAAACUUUUUAUCCCGAGACUUUGACAACUCAACACCAUGAAUGACACGAUAGAGGACAAAGUGUUCAUGGCAAGCUAUAAGGCAACAAAUGAUGGAAAGAGUUUUGGUUGAUCUGUCAGGUUUGGUGGUGAACGUCCACUCCAGUGUGAUGUUGUGGUUCUCCUCUGCCUGAUAGGAGGUCUGUGUCACAUUGACUACAAAUGAUCCUGUCGAGGAGACAGAGAGGGAAAGAGAGGAGCAGACACACUGAGAACUGGAACAAAUCUGUUGUUGAGCUUUAUUUGGAGUUCAUAAAGUGAAGCUGCAAACUAACCAGAGAUACAUGAGGUGAGGAUGAUGAGCAGCAGGAUCCUGCAGAUCAUCUUCUCCUUGUGAGAGGAGACAGAGGUGAAGAGUCAUCAACACAUGAGGUCAAAGGUCAGUCAGUACAGCAGAAAGAAGGAAAAUCUACAGUCUGACUUCAUUCACUCAGUACAACAUCUGAUCCUGUUCAUGAUCCUGAUUUUUACAGUGAAAGCUCUUCUUCUGAUGCUGGUUGCCUUCUGUUUUCUGUCAGGAUGAUCCCACACUGCUUCAACAAGGUUGAGAUCCUCUGGAGAGGUCAAGCCAUGACUGAUUGUGUGCAAUGUAUGCAUUUCUAUCGAGCUGUACUUUUAAUGCUAAAGAAUCUGCCAGUCUGAUUUUUUUCCCAGAUUUUAUUUCAUAGUGUACAAAAUCUGAAGGUAUCUGAAUCGGCAUUCAUAAUUGCAUCAAUUCUGACUGGCUGAAAUACAUCCCCAAACUAGGACUCGACAUUUACAAAUGAUUUAUAGAUGACUGUAGAGACUCGCUGUUGUACCACUCUGCUUACCUCUUCUCUAUAUACGGUUCAUGAAUUGAACUAAAUGUUGUAAAUUUGGUAUAAUAACUCUAUAAGACCUAUUGCUACUGCAUCCCAUUUCUUGUGAAGCAGGGGAAGUGAGUACAUUCAAAGAUAUGGUGAGGUCAGUAAUUCAAGAGGGACUCAGAGUAGAGUUGCUAAUCCUACACAUUGAAAGGAGACAGUUGAGCCGGUUCGGGCAUCUGAUUAGGAUGCCUCCUGGACGCAACACCGCCUACAGGUGUUGGCCAGAGGGGCCGAUGGCGUGAUAUGGCAGCCUCGCUUCUGUCAGUCUGCCCCAGGGCAGCUGUGGCUACAACUUAGCUUGUCUCCACCAGUGUGUGAUUGUGAGAGUGAAUGAAUAGUGGAAUUGUAAAGCGCUUUGGGUGCCUAGAAAAGCGCUAUAUAAAUGCAAUCCAUUAUUAUUAUUAUUAUUAUUUAUUCUAAGGUUUCUAGGUGAAGUGUUUCGGCAUUUCCUACCAGUAGGAGGCCCCGGGGCAGACCCAUGGCUUAUUGCUGACAUUUUAAUGACUGUGAUACUUAAUUUGGGCCCUGUAGCAAAUAAUAACUGGAUAAAUAGAUAAAUAGUCCAAUUUAUUAAGAUGGAAUUAAAUGAGUUUUUACUGGAAUUUUCAUAAUCAUAAAGUCAAAAAACAUUAACUCAAGAUUCUGAGCAGUAACUUAUACUGUGAAUGAGAAAGAACCCAGGUUUUGUCUCAUUUAGGGCUUAUUGCUCUCUGCUGCAAAUAUUAAACACUCAGUGCUGUCUGCGUUAAGCUGCAGAAAAUAGUUUGCCAUCCAACUAUUAAUUUCCUUACGACAAUCCAUUAGAAUGGAUAGUUUAUCCAAUUCACAAGGUUUAAAGUGAGGUACAAUUGGAUAUUGUCUACAUACAGAUAAUAGGAAAAGAUUUUAAAACUACUAAUAAUAAGGCGUAAUGGCAAGAUCUAUAAUAAGAAUAACAAAGGUCUUAAAACAGAUCCUUGCAGAACACCCCAUGAAAAUUCAGUUACAUCUGAUCAAAAGUUUUUCACUGAGACAAAGUAAGGUUCCAUGCCAAGAAAUCCCUACUAUAGAUCUUCUGUUCUUUCUUUGCACUUAAAAAUAUAAAUACUAACAUUAAACAACUGGAGAGAUACAUACUCCUGCUGCAUCCUCUUCUUUGAGCUGGUAUCUGUUUCCAAAAAACAACCUCCAGCUCUGUUAUGUAUCUUCAGUCUGCCCAAACUGCCCAAAGACACCAAGUUGAUAUGCAGUAUUACUUUUUAUGCUGUAUACAUAAACAAGUAGCUGUCUGCUCACAGAUAGGCAUUUU
Molecule: long non-coding RNA, 6096 nt
Organism: Oreochromis aureus
Lineage: Eukaryota; Metazoa; Chordata; Actinopteri; Cichliformes; Cichlidae
Source: Ensembl